RNAcentral lists this ribosomal RNA (253 nucleotides) under uncultured bacterium. Its description in RNAcentral is "partial 16S ribosomal RNA". It matches the Rfam family "Bacterial small subunit ribosomal RNA", at positions 524 to 776 of the family's 1533-position model. The record is from RNAcentral.
UACGAAGGGGGCUAGCGUUGUUCGGAAUUACUGGGCGUAAAGCGCGCGCAGGCGGUUCUUCAAGUCAGUGGUGAAAGCCCGGAGCUCAACUCCGGAAUUGCCAUUGAAACUGUGGAACUUAAGGAUGAGAGAGGUGAGUGGAAUUCCCAGUGUAGAGGUGAAAUUCGUAGAUAUUCGGAAGAACACCAGUGGCGAAGGCGGCUCACUGGACUGGUAUUGACGCUGAGGUGCGAAAGCGUGGGGAGCAAACAGG